Molecule: ribosomal RNA, 320 nt
Filed under: Muntiacus crinifrons (black muntjac)
Lineage: Eukaryota; Metazoa; Chordata; Mammalia; Artiodactyla; Cervidae
Description: partial 16S ribosomal RNA
Rfam family: Bacterial large subunit ribosomal RNA
Source: RNAcentral
CACACGAGGGUUUUACUGUCUCUUGCUUCCAAUCAGUGAAAUUGACCUUCCCGUGAAGAGGCGGGAAUAUAUUAAUAAGACGAGAAGACCCUAUGGAGCUUUAACUACUUAGCCCAAAGAAACAAAAUUUAUUUCUAAGGAAACAACAACAUUCUUUAUGGACUAACAGCUUUGGUUGGGGUGACCUCGGAGAAUAAGAAAUCCUCCGAGCGAUUUUAAAGACUAGACCCACAAGUCAAAUCACAUAACCGCUUAUUGAUCCAAAAAAUUGAUCAACGGAACAAGUUACCCUAGGGAUAACAGCGCAAUCCUAUUCGAGA